UCAUUACUGAUUUAGUAUAAACUUGGAAGUUCUUGAAAGAUUUCUAAACAUGAGGAUUUUUGGUUACUUCUAGCCCACUGAUGCUAAGAUCUCAAAAGAGGAGGAUCUUGAACACCUUGAAUCUGGAAAUUCCCAGAUAGAGAUGAAAUAUGAAGUUGCAGGAAAUGUAGAAACUGAACUGUUUGGAGAAGACACCAUGAAGAUGCCUGUAGACCACAAGCUGCACGAGAAGAUCAAGAACAAACUUUGGGUGUGGUUGAUUGAACAUUUAUUUGUAUGUGUACUUUCAUGCCAAAGUGGACUGCCCCCUAACUGGCUUCCCUUUAAUACAACUAGGAAUUAUUUGUUUUGUUUUUCUCUUUUCAAAUUAUUGUAAUAUUUAAGUUGAUUGUGUUUUCAUUAUCCUUUUGGGGAAAAAAUUCCCAAAUGAUCAAAUGGUGAAAUGUAAAAAUGGAGAUUUGAACCCAGACUUCAAUCCCCAGAAGUCCUUGCUAGAGUGCCCUCUAGCCUCCCUGAAUCUCACCUGAGUGCAAGGUCACAAAUUGUAUUUAACCUGACUCUCAGCCUACUUUGGGUCUCUUUCUUCCUGCUUCCGCUUCCAAGCACACACUUCUCUCGAGAUGUAGUAUUAUGGUAUUAUGAAUCAAGAGAUUCUUGGCUGGUUUCAUAGAGUGUAACAACACACACAGAUAUCACUGAUGAUAGCUCUGCAGAAGAGCAAUGGUACUUUGAAACAAAGUGGACUUGUAUACUAUAACAAUAGUCCAGUUGAGAAAACCCUAUUGAUUUCCCCCCGUGUUCUCUCCUCUAACAUGGUCACCACAUUAGAGCAGACUCUCAUUACUUCAUGUUUAGACUAUUAAAAGAGCUUUCUGGUCAUUGUCUAAAUCCUUACCUAUU
RNAcentral lists this long non-coding RNA (900 nucleotides) under Monodelphis domestica (gray short-tailed opossum). RNAcentral's name for it is "lncRNA (ENSMODG00000036368.2)". The record is from RNAcentral. Lineage: Eukaryota; Metazoa; Chordata; Mammalia; Didelphimorphia; Didelphidae.